AAGACUAUAGACCUGCGGAGUACCUGCGGAGGGAUCAUCACUAAGGAUGUUAUAUCCGAGGUAUCUGGAGAUUAUGAUAUUAGAGUUGGUAGGGUAUUCUACCAGCACAUACAUAACCACUUAAUAAAACAAUCUAAUAUAAAACAAAUAAAAAACAACUUUCAGCAACGGAUCUCU
This 177-nucleotide unclassified non-coding RNA is filed under the name soil metagenome. RNAcentral's name for it is "partial contains 5.8S ribosomal RNA, internal transcribed spacer 2, and large subunit ribosomal RNA". The record is from RNAcentral.